GACGAACCGUCCAAACGUUAUUCGGAAUUACUGGGCUUAAAGGGCGCGUAGGCGGCCGAGCGGGUCACGGGUGAAAUCCUCCAGCUUAACUGGAGAACUGCCCUUGAUACCACUGCGGCUCGAGGAAGGAAGGGGCAAUCGGAACUGUCGGUGGAGCGGUGAAAUGCGUUGAUAUCGACAGGAACGCCGGUGGCGAAAGCGGAUUGCUGGUCCUUUUCUGACGCUGAGGCGCGAAAGCCAGGGGAGCAAACGGG
This 254-nucleotide ribosomal RNA is filed under the name uncultured bacterium. RNAcentral describes it as "partial 16S ribosomal RNA". It matches the Rfam family "Bacterial small subunit ribosomal RNA", at positions 524 to 776 of the family's 1533-position model. The record is from RNAcentral.